CCUACGGGGGGCAGCAGUAGGGAAUAUUGCUCAAUGGGGGAAACCCUGAAGCAGCAACGCCGCGUGGAGGAUGAAGGUUUUCGGAUUGUAAACUCCUUUUGUUAGAGAAGAUAAUGACGGUAUCUAACGAAUAAGCACCGGCUAACUCCGUGCCAGCAGCCGCGGUAAUACGGAGGGUGCAAGCGUUACCCGGAAUCACUGGGCGUAAAGGGCGCGUAGGCGGGAUAGCAAGUCAGAUGUGAAAUCCUAUGGCUUAACCAUAGAACUGCAUGUGAAACUGUUAUUCUAGAGUAUGGGAGAGGUAGGUGGAAUUCUUGGUGUAGGGGUAAAAUCCGUAGAGAUCAAGAGGAAUACUCAUUGCGAAGGCGACCUGCUAGAACAUAACUGACGCUGAUGCGCGAAAGCGUGGGGAGCAAACAGGAUUAGAUACCCCUGUAGUC
Molecule: ribosomal RNA, 440 nt
Filed under: uncultured bacterium
Lineage: Bacteria
Description: partial 16S ribosomal RNA
Rfam family: Bacterial small subunit ribosomal RNA
Source: RNAcentral